AUGGUUACAUGUGAUUUUGAUCUGAAUUUCACAUUUACUUCAUGUGGGUGGGAAGGGUCCGCAUCAGAUGCAGGAGUUCUUCAUUCUGCUAUUAGCAAGGGGUUUCAUGUGCCAGAUGGAAAAUUUUAUCUCGUAGAUGGUGGAUAUGCAAACACACCUUCUUUUCUUGCACCAUAUCGAGGAGUUCGGUAUCACCUGAGUGAAUUUAGGAGGCGGCGCUCAUCUAAUAUGGGCUAUGCCGACCAUAGGGAGUUAUUCAACCAUACCCAUGCAAUCCUCCGGAACCACAUCGAAAGGAGCAUUGGUGUUCUGAAAAAACGUUUCCCUAUCUUGAAAGUGGGCAAUCACUACCCAAUAGAGUCACAAAUCAAGAUUCCGGCGGCAUGUGCUGUAUUCCAUAAAAUCAUUAGAGCUCAAAGUGGUGAUGAGGCAUGGUUGGAUAACCAACCACCGUUAAUUCCACCAGAAACAUAUGUUGAUGUUCUAGAGGGAGAUGAUGUCAACCAACAUCAUCACAAUGAGGCAAACGAUGGAAACACUCUUAGAGAUUAG
RNAcentral lists this ribosomal RNA (552 nucleotides) under Triticum aestivum (bread wheat). RNAcentral's name for it is "partial small subunit ribosomal RNA". Lineage: Eukaryota; Viridiplantae; Streptophyta; Magnoliopsida; Poales; Poaceae. The record is from RNAcentral.